GGGGUUGUGGCUUAGUGGUAGAGUGCUCACCUAGCAUGUGUGGGGCAUUGCGUUUGAUCCUCAGCACCA
Molecule: transfer RNA, 69 nt
Filed under: Marmota monax (woodchuck)
Lineage: Eukaryota; Metazoa; Chordata; Mammalia; Rodentia; Sciuridae
Description: tRNA.Ala
Source: RNAcentral